RNAcentral lists this ribosomal RNA (520 nucleotides) under uncultured Glomeromycotina. RNAcentral's name for it is "SSU rRNA". It matches the Rfam family "Eukaryotic small subunit ribosomal RNA", at positions 569 to 1091 of the family's 1831-position model. The record is from RNAcentral. Lineage: Eukaryota; Fungi; Glomeromycota.
AGCAGCCGCGGUAAUUCCAGCUCCAAUAGCGUAUAUUAAAGUUGUUGCAGUUAAAAAGCUCGUAGUUGAAUUUCGGGAUUAGUACGCUGGUCAUGCCUUUGGUAUGUACUGGUGUUACUGAUUUUACCUUCUGAAGAACCGUUAUGUCAUUCAUUUGGUGUGGCGGGGAAUCAGGACUGUUACUUUGAAAAAAUUAGAGUGUUUAAAGCAGGCUCGCGCUUGAAUACAUUAGCAUGGAAUAAUGAAAUAGGACGUUGAUCCUAUUUUGUUGGUUUCUAGGAUUGACGUAAUGAUUAAUAGGGAUAGUUGGGGGCAUUAGUAUUCAAUUGUCAGAGGUGAAAUUCUUGGAUUUAUUGAAGACUAACUACUGCGAAAGCAUUUGCCAAGGAUGUUUUCAUUAAUCAAGAACGAAAGUUAGGGGAUCGAAGACGAUCAGAUACCGUCGUAGUCUUAACCAUAAACUAUGCCGACUAGGGAUCGGAUGAUGUUAAUUUUUUAAUGUACUCAUUCGGCGCCUUAC